RNAcentral lists this long non-coding RNA (852 nucleotides) under Cercocebus atys (sooty mangabey). RNAcentral's name for it is "lncRNA (ENSCATG00000045533.1)". Lineage: Eukaryota; Metazoa; Chordata; Mammalia; Primates; Cercopithecidae. The record is from RNAcentral.
GAGUCAUAUUCAGAAAAGUAUUUAGUCACAUGGGGCUCCGGUGAUUUCUCUGUUUAUGAGCUCAUUCCUUCCUCAUUUCUGAGAACUUUGGUGUUAACAGCCCGUUUCCUUUUUGUAGGGGCUGACUUGGACUUCGCAGAUGCCUUUCAUGGUGGAGGAAAUCACAGUCACAAUUGCAACUUUCAUUGUCACGAAGAGAUGACCCAGCACCUCCUAAUUCACCCAAGCCGAAGCCAAAUGCAAACCCUAAGCAACCUGGAUUCAUUGGCGCUCAUAAUCGCAACUCGCAUCUUACAAACAGAUGAGCCAGCACCACCUGACACACCCAAACCAAAGCCAAGUCCAAACCCCAAGCAGCCUGAUUCCACUGUCAUUUGACACUCCUCUCUGUGUCAGUGUCUGAGGCACCCUGGGACCGUCCUGACUGGAAAGCACAGUGACAUUGCUGGCCUGAGCUGAAGUGCUGAUUAAAAUAAAUUGAAAGCUGAAUGACCUUAUGAAGAGCUGCUUUACCCAGGAACAAAUAUGGAGAGGAACUCCUUGCAACUGUGUUCUCAAGUAGACCACUUUUGAGAAAUUAUACAUUUAUCAUAACACCUCAAGUCCUGCUCUGCAUAGAAUGACCAUUAUUAUCAAGAAAAGUUCUCCAUUCCCUGUGAUUCAUAAGGAAAUGCAGGCCUAACCAGAAAACAGGAGCUGCGACAACCUUGGGUCAGACACAUUCAGUCUCUCUAUUCACAGUUGCAUUUUCUCUCUCUCUCUCUCUCUCUCUCUUUUUUUUUUUUUAACAAAGCCAAAUUACCAGUAACUGGGAAAAACAAAAACAAAAAAAAAAUGAACAUACGGCUUGAG